AUUUUGAUUAAUGGUUAACUGCUUUGAUAAUAUCAUAUGCAGCUAUCGUGAAAUGUUUUUUUAUUUGUGAUUUAACUCCUGGAUUUAUUCUUCCAUUAAAUUAAUUAAUUUAAAUGAAAAUAAGAAAUCAUGGAUCAGGAAAAUUUCUCAACAAUUAAUUAAACGGUUUCUUUUUUCUUGCUGUGGCCAAUGAACCCUGAUGAAGCUUUUGAGAGCAUAAUUGUAUUCCAAAAUAAAAACAGGCCCUCGCUCGUUUGAUCCACAACAGAUCACCGCCGCCGACACAAGGCGUAAUUACCAUUUUAAUUCGGUUCCCACCGGCAAAAUUCAACCACACACAGCGUCGAGUUGAAUGGGAAUCAAAAUAAAAAACGAAACACAUCCUUGCUCGUCGCUCAGAUUGUGCAUGACAGGCCGGAAAGACUUUUUGAAACUCAUAUCUUUCCUCUCGCCUCCACUAAUUCCUUUUUUGAUCUCCGGCACUCUCGGAAUUGUGGCUCUUCUCUUUUAAGUUUAAUGACGUCAAAGCUCGACUGGUUCUUCAUACAACAUGUGUGUGAGUGCCGAGUAUAUUUCAUUCGCAGGACCGAAAAUCGUUGCGCUCGUGAUCUCCUUCUCCGCGUCUCGGUUUUUCCGCCGAGAGCGAGUUCAUGCACGUCUCAGCAAUUAGUCUGCGGUUUUUCAGGCGUGGUUUUAAUUUCGCGCAGCUUUUCGUGCAACAGCAGCACACCGGCUAAAUUGGCGUAAAGUGUGUUUUAAUUAAAUUGUCGGUCGUGUUAAUUAGGCACAUGAAUUAUUCUUUGUAUAGAGAAAUAAACAAUAUAAAAACAAACUAGGUUUGGCGUAUAAAAGCGGCAUCAGAGUAUAAUAUUAGUCAUUCGCUUUAAAUCCUCGUUUAUCACAAAAGGCGCUUAUUGUGAGUAAUACUGUUAUGUGGGCAGCAUAAUAAGGAAAUCAAGAUCCAGAGCCAAAUCAGGAAGUGGAGGAUAAGGGGUAAUGGGAAAACUGUAGAAAAUAUUUUAAAAUUAAAUUUUACUAAAGAUUCAGUGUUAUAACUUUACUAUAAUAUCGAUUUUUUUGUCGGAGCAUAAGCAGAGCAAGAUUGGAACUCCCCAGAAUAAAAUAUUGGCAGAACUCUCCUCUUUAGUUGAAAAAGUUGAGAUUUUGAAACUAUUCACCAUAUGAUUUCAUUAUCUGCCUGAAGUUAUUAAACAAAUAUGAUUAAAAAAGUAUAAUUUUCAUGUCUAAUUUUAAUAGUUAAAGCAAUUGAAUUUGCUUUUGUCUCUGCAUCGACACAUUUUUCAAGCGAGAGUGACUGGUUUUGACACCGCCUCAACUUCGGAAAAAGGAAGCGGCGGAGACUCCUUGAUAUUAUCAUUGAUUUUUAUAUAAUUCAUUAAAAUAAUUUGUCGCCGAUCAGCCUGCCGAGCAUGGCAAGCAAGAGAGAUGCAGACGGUGAAAAACAAAAAGUGGCGCCGCGAGAUUGUUCAUAUACUAGCACACAACAGCAGCUCUUGGAAUGAUAUUGCAGAGAUCGAGUGACGACUCGCUGCUGUGAUGCAACCGGCAUUAUUAUUUCUCUUUAUAUAGCACUCGCCAGUUUUCUCCUCGCCGCCGAUUAUGGCCUUAUUAAGAGAUGUUUCUCGCUCGCAGGCCUAGGGGUGAACAGCUCAUGUGCCCGACUCUGCCGCCGCGAGUAUUGUCCUCGUCACCUUCGUGACUAAAAAGGAUAAAACUCGGUGAGCUCUCCGCUGGCCCGAGUCGGAAAAAGGAAUUGCCGCGGCAGAGCAGCUUCUCUUUGCCCAUUUCUAGCGUUUAGUUCUUUUAAAAUCCUUUUGCGUUCAAACACAUUUUACGUUUUCUUCUUUAAACCAUCUUGGUAAAACUUAAAACUUUCAUUAUUUAAAUCAUUUUACUCUAAUCGUAUAGUAAUAAAAAAAAAACUAAAAAAACUUGCAGCUCAUUUAGUUUCUCUCGGUCUCUCCUUCUCUCCCAGAUUUUACAAACAUUAGAAUUAACCUAAAUAGUUGGGACUUUUUCGUGCAAGCGGGAUUUGAGCAAUUAUUCUGUAUCUAUAUAGAUUGUUGGAGUUGUAAACAAAUAUUUUUUCCAACAUGAGAUAUGAAAUCGUGCGCGAAAAUUGUUGACACCCAUUAAGAUGAAUGAUUCAUCAAGAUUUAAUUUUCAUCUCGGAAGUUCAUUGAUUUCUACUGCGAUUUAACUGAUUAGAGGACUUUGCUGCUGUGAUUGAUCUUGGGCAACAAUUCAAUAACAUCCUAUCCGUGCCAUCUCAUUAGUUGAAAAAGCACGCGCGCAAUUAUCGCGUCUGCAAAGUGUGAUGAGAGCAUUCCCCGCGCACUUUUUAUCAACACACCAACAGCUCAACCUUGGUUUAUCUCCCUCGACAUGCUUGAGUUAUAUGCACUUGCUGAGUCAAUUAUAAAAUAUUUGCACUCGGUCAUUAGCACCGGUUCAAGGAAUUUUAUCAAUCAUCCAAGCACAUCAUUUAUUUUCCGUUUGCCUAUUCAACUGUUUUACACUUUAUUCUCAAUUUAUAUAAAAUACUAAAAAAGAUAUUUGUGUUGUACAACACAAAAUUUAAUUUUGUAAUAUUUCUUACUUUGAAAAUUAUGUCAAAUUUUAAAACUCGUUUUUUAACAUCAAAAGUAUUCUGCCGCGGCCUACAUUCAAAUUUAUGACACGCAAAUAAGAGUUAGCAUUAUGAUAAGGUGUAUUAAUACUCAAAUGGGACACGCCAUAGCGUCGCGCAAUAUUUAAUUUGGCGUAUUAUCUCACCCUGUGAGAAUCAUUUGGGCACAGCAGCAUGUAGCACCGGAUGGGAGGAACGCACAAUCGCGCAGGCAGUUGUAGAGAGAGAGCGGACAAUUUAAUCAUCAAUGCUCCAUGCGUGGACGCGCCUCCACUUUCCAACCCGCGCGCAACGAAAAAGCAGUCCAAAGUCCGAAAACUAAAACACCCAUCGAGCUGGAAUGAAAUUAAUUGGACAAAAGGAAAGGGGGGCAGGAAGCUGGUCGUCGGUUCCGUUUAAUUGGCGUGCAGGCGUCGAUUUUUAUAAUCGCCGAGUGCGAAUAUCAGACAUGAGGAGAAUCAGAACGAGCACUCUAUUAUUAAAUGAUAAAAAUAACUGAGGAUUUUUUCUGCGAAAAUAGUGUUGGCAAUCAAAGCUUUGUGGCUGGCAAUAAUGUUUAUUCCAUGCACUAUCAAUCUUUCAUUAAUUUAUAAUUAUAAAAUUUUUAUUUUUAUGGAGUGUUUGAGGUUAAUUGAUUGUUGUGAGGCAAACGUAUUUCAAUUGUGAGACUGGCUGCGUUUUGCUCAUUACCUUUGUUCUAACGCGGAUGGGUGUACCAAACAAUACUUCCACACGUUCAUGUGCUGCAAUUUAAAAAGUUACAUUAUUUCAUACAAUGGCUCUCCAACGCUACGGAUGGCUUUGUAUGUUAUUCACCGCGGUCUAUUUGGCCAUAUAAGGAGUGUUUUGCGCGGUUAUAGUGUUACCGGAGUAAACAGCGAGAUAAUGCGAAAAUAAUACACACAUACCUACCCGCUCGAAAAGUGUGCAAAACUUUGAAAGCGCUGGAAGCGAAAUGGAGAAACUAGACUAAAGUAGCUUCUUGUGUCUUGGUAUACGCACAAGUUAUAAACUUUUAUAAAGCUUGGCAAAAGAGCGAGUCGGGUAGAAAUUAAAUCCGCACACACACACUCUUGCAAAUAAAAAAGAAGCAAGCUGAAGCCAUCCAAAAUUGAAUUCAAAUCAUAUUUUUAACAAAUUGUUAUUUCAAAAACAAAUUUGUAUUUGCUGCAAAAAAUAUGUAAUGUAUACACUUAAAAAAUCUAGAAUAUAAUUAAGUUCAUUCUUGAUCCAUAAUCUAAUCUGUAUCUAGAAAAAAUAUUACGUCAUUCAGUUAUUCAUUUCAUCUUUGAGGAAAUUUAAAUACUCUCAGUAAUUGAUCAUGAAAAUAAGAAAUUGAAAUUUAAAAUAAUUAAACCAAAAGAGUAGUACACUUGUCAGACUUUUUUGAAAGUGAAAACUUCCACAUUUUGCAUGGCACACGCGUUUUGUUUGGAGAGAUACUAUCUUCACACAAAUCACGUCGGUUGGUUUUUCUCUGAAAAAGGGCAAAAUAAUGGCUGUACCCACUCGACUGCAUUUGCAUAAACGAAAAGAAGUGUCCCCGCGCACACAAUGCCCGAAUGACUGCGAGAGACAAAUAAAGCAACAGCGAGCUUAAUUGAAUGACAGCGGCAGGAUGUCCAUUUUCAGAUCUCCAAACAAACUGACAGAAAACUUGCCUGAGGAGCGCCGGCUAUAUAAAUAUGGUGUGGUGACACACACUCGCGAAAUAUUGUCGAACAGAAUAAUAAAUAUUUGUAUCAAUUAUUGUCUCUGCGAGUAAGGUUAGCCCAUGGCCAUAGCUUUUCAUAUAAAGGAAACUUAACUUCAUUCCGAGCAAGCAACGCGCGCGCUUUUCCGAAUCUCCCGCCGACCUUUCCCUGAUGGCGUGGACCCUUCAGCCAACCUGAGAAGACCGAUCGGCGCGCGCCACCUCAGGGCCCAAUCAGACCCACGGUCGAGCCUCGAAGCCGGCUCUCCGUGCCUGAGAGCCUCAGACGAGCGACGCCCGAAACGCAGACAACACCCUGUCCUAUCUUCAGCCAAUUCGGUUAAUGGCGACCACGUUUUACCAAGUUCCCAAUCAAUCGGUAAUGAUCGCUUUUCCACUGUUUCCUCAGCUUAGUAAGAUCAGACUAGCUUUUCCGAAUCCUAUUUGGCCAUAUUUUGUAUUUUGUUCUCUCUUUAUUUAAUAAUAACUUUAACUUUAAUUCUUAACUUUAAUUAAUUGCUUUUAAUUAUAAACUCAAACCUAGUCAAAACUAAAGUCAUAAUAAAUAAAAGUAACUUUAGUCCAAGCCAUUUAAGGAGUGCUCGGGCUAUUUAAUUAAAGGAUUAAAGAGAUAUUAAGAGAUAAGUUUGAAGUCACAUGGGGGAUGAAAUGCACAAGGGGGCCAAGGGGGACACAGGAGAAGCCUAUUAAAUAUCAAACUCCAGUCUGCAAAUUAAGGCGGCGCUCGGCUCCAGCUCCGCUCUUCAUUAGUUUUAGGUGUUCAAUGAUUAAUACUAAUUAGCCCCUGUCGUGGUGACACGACAGAUUUGGUGUCAGGGUGCGGGGUGAUUUUUUUUUCCAAUUAAUCACCUCCGGUACGGCCUCACAUUCCUCGUCCACCAGCGGCGCAAACCAGAAAGGAACCUCAACGAACACAGGAAGGCCAGUGACCAACAAGCGUCCAUAGAAAAGGCAUCCACCCAGCGGCGUUGGCUUCUGCAGGGCCAGCGCUUAGCGGAUUCAGUGUCCAGCAUCGAGACAAAACGAGACGAUCAUAGGCGAACGCUCACCUCUUCGAGAUUGCGCCGCGACGUCAUUCUCGGCGCUGCACGGUUUUAGAAGAUGAGCUGUUACUGAUAAGUAUACCCGACUUUUACUUGGAAACUUUAAUUCAAGCAAAAGUAAAGGCAGACUGUCAUUGGGAAAGGGUAGCAGUCAAGUUAAAAUUAAGGGAAAGCUCUACGGUGUGAGCAUUUAAUUACAAAAGCUGUACAAAAGCUUGGAUAAAAGGUGCCAAUUUAUUUUAUUGUUGUGGCUAUUUAAAACUUUUGAAGGAAUUGCACAUUUUAAUUUUGUAUUAUAUAAGUGUAUAAAAAAAUAACAACUUUCAUGAUUGUUUCACCAUUGUAUAUAAAUGUACUCUGAAAACAAAUGCAAAGCAAAACCUCCGCCAUAAGGCUGCACCUGAAUGGCAAUCGAAAAGUGACAUCUUUACACAAUUGUUGUGAAUCCCUCCCUUUUGCCAGUACUCCAGUUUUCAGCAGAUGGGAGCAUUUCAUUGCUCAGGUGUACAUCACUCACCGACAGCAGACCUCUCCAGCCUCUGCCCAGCCAGGACUGCAGAUGUCUCGCUGCCAACAGCAUCAGAAUUCGCCGUCCACUCCGUGGCAGAUAAAAGCCACCUUGCUCUGCGAGUUGUCCGACUCCACCUUCAGCUGGUCUGCAAGAUGGGUCGACAAACGACCAGUCAUGGCGCCCUCGACGGAACUUCAGCACUGACUAGGACUGACACAAGGCCAGUGACAGUCCAAGUUGGUCUCACCACUACUGCAAGAAAUAAUCAGUCAGCAUUGUCGACAAAAGCAGACAAGAGCAACACACACCUGCGCAGCACAAGUACCACCGUCCACUGUCCGGACCACAAGACCCACUUCCAGUGGCAGCCCAAGCGCAACAUCCAGUUCCAUCAGUGGACCAAGUUGGAAGCCAGCCGCUCCGCAAGAAGAAACACAACUAGCCCUCGGCAGGAGAAGAACCGACAUCUUCGUCUCACUCUGAAAUUUUUUUUUAAUGAAGUUAAAUUCAAAUUGGGAAAAUUGUAAAAUUUAAAAUUGAAAAUAUUAUAACAUGUUUAGAUUUAAGUCCAACAGAAGAAAAUGAAACAGAAUGUUGAUUAAUUGAAAUCGUAAAUUAAAAUGUGUUCUAAAAUGUUUAAAAAUGUGUGUCAAACCGAGCUGUUUUGUCCACGGGAAAAUUUUUUUAAACUAAAAUGAAACGAAAAUUUUAAUUGAAAAAAUUGUUAAAUAAUCUAAAAACAAAAUGUGCAGCCACAACAAUGAAAUAAUUAAUUUUCCUCCCAUUAGUUAGAAAACAUCAUCGGGAAGUAUUGUAAAUGAAUUAUUUUUAUGCUCGACAUGCAUGAAGAGAAAUGUAAUUAUUUUAAUUUUCUUACAAUUAGUUUUAAAUUACUUGCACUGGAAUUGACUAAACUCACCACUAUUAUGUAACUGCUGUUGAAAUUCCUCGCAAAAUAUCUCCGCAGCUUCGCAAGAAUCGCACUGUGCCUGUGCACAGUUCUUCAAGACCGGGAAAUCCGCUUGUUUUCGCACCAUCAUCAUUCAAGUCCGCUCGCCAACCAAGACAAGUGCUACGAACAAAGAUAAUCCAAUUUUCAAGCAAAACAACCGAAAAUCUCACCUAAAUCAGCAGCAAAAGCCCAAGUUGUUGACAUUUGUGAAGUGAAAGUGCAAGUGACCUUCUCCAUGCACCAGUCACGUGACUCCAAGCUCGAAUCCCAUUCGCCAGCCUGCAAAGUUCCAGCCAACCAGAAACGCGACUCUCGCAAGCUGAGAGACAACAACAGAACACAGCUGGCCACGUAAACAAACAAACGAGCAUGGCCAUCAGACACACCAAGUCCAGUGACUCCAGCCGAGGCCGUGGCCUCUGGCCGCCGCACAGCAUAAGAACUUCUAAACAAGUCAACCAAUCAUUCCGAGCUCCAAAACGUGAAAGUUUGCCAAAAACACACCUGAACACCAAUUCCAACCUCUGAGAAGCCAAGCAGAGAUGACCUAUCUCUCGCAAACACCAACUGCCUGCCUUGGCCCAGCGCAACCACGAGCAGUACGACACCAGAGGCGCCCUGCCAAGCCCCAAACCACCACACCGGACACCAAGCCACCACCAGUCUUCAGCUUGAUGGACGCGAGGGCGCGUCCAAGUUGAAGGGGGGGCAGUCUGUGGUGACACACACUCGCGAAAUAUUGUCGAACAGAAUAAUAAAUAUUUGUAUCAAUUAUUGUCUCUGCGAGUAAGGUUAGCCCAUGGCCAUAGCUUUUCAUAUAAAGGAAACUUAACUUCAUUCCGAGCAAGCAACGCGCGCGCUUUUCCGAAUCUCCCGCCGACCUUUCCCUGAUGGCGUGGACCCUUCAGCCAACCUGAGAAGACCGAUCGGCGCGCGCCACCUCAGGGCCCAAUCAGACCCACGGUCGAGCCUCGAAGCCGGCUCUCCGUGCCUGAGAGCCUCAGACGAGCGACGCCCGAAACGCAGACAACACCCUGUCCUAUCUUCAGCCAAUUCGGUUAAUGGCGACCACGUUUUACCAAGUUCCCAAUCAAUCGGUAAUGAUCGCUUUUCCACUGUUUCCUCAGCUUAGUAAGAUCAGACUAGCUUUUCCGAAUCCUAUUUGGCCAUAUUUUGUAUUUUGUUCUCUCUUUAUUUAAUAAUAACUUUAACUUUAAUUCUUAACUUUAA
Neocloeon triangulifer is the source of this 8100-nucleotide long non-coding RNA. RefSeq lists it as uncharacterized. The transcript has 2 exons. Lineage: Eukaryota; Metazoa; Arthropoda; Insecta; Ephemeroptera; Baetidae. The record is from RefSeq and is a predicted model, not a curated record.